Molecule: ribosomal RNA, 550 nt
Filed under: Achromobacter sp. 2-2
Lineage: Bacteria; Pseudomonadati; Pseudomonadota; Betaproteobacteria; Burkholderiales; Alcaligenaceae
Description: bacterial SSU rRNA
Rfam family: Bacterial small subunit ribosomal RNA
Source: RNAcentral
AAUGUAUCGGAACGUGCCUAGUAGCGGGGGAUAACUACGCGAAAGCGUAGCUAAUACCGCAUACGCCCUACGGGGGAAAGCAGGGGAUCGCAAGACCUUGCACUAUUAGAGCGGCCGAUAUCGGAUUAGCUAGUUGGUGGGGUAACGGCUCACCAAGGCGACGAUCCGUAGCUGGUUUGAGAGGACGACCAGCCACACUGGGACUGAGACACGGCCCAGACUCCUACGGGAGGCAGCAGUGGGGAAUUUUGGACAAUGGGGGAAACCCUGAUCCAGCCAUCCCGCGUGUGCGAUGAAGGCCUUCGGGUUGUAAAGCACUUUUGGCAGGAAAGAAACGUCAUGGGCUAAUACCCCGUGAAACUGACGGUACCUGCAGAAUAAGCACCGGCUAACUACGUGCCAGCAGCCGCGGUAAUACGUAGGGUGCAAGCGUUAAUCGGAAUUACUGGGCGUAAAGCGUGCGCAGGCGGUUCGGAAAGAAAGAUGUGAAAUCCCAGAGCUUAACUUUGGAACUGCAUUUUUAACUACCGAGCUAGAGUGUGUCAGAGGG